Molecule: ribosomal RNA, 497 nt
Filed under: uncultured bacterium
Lineage: Bacteria
Description: partial 16S ribosomal RNA
Rfam family: Bacterial small subunit ribosomal RNA
Source: RNAcentral
GACGAACGCUGGCGGCGUGCCUAAUACAUGCAAGUAGAACGCUGAAGAGAGGAGCUUGCUCUUCUUGGAUGAGUUGCGAACGGGUGAGUAACGCGUAGGUAACCUGCCUUGUAGCGGGGGAUAACUAUUGGAAACGAUAGCUAAUACCGCAUAACAAUGGAUGACCCAUGUCAUUUAUUUGAAAGGGGCAAAUGCUCCACUACAAGAUGGACCUGCGUUGUAUUAGCUAGUAGGUGAGGUAACGGCUCACCUAGGCGACGAUACAUAGCCGACCUGAGAGGGUGAGUGGCCACCCUGGGACGGAGACACGGCACAGACUGACACGGGAGGCAGCCGUAGGGAAUCGUCGGCAAUGGGGGCAACCCUGACCGAGCAACGCCGCGUGAGUGAAGAAGGUCUUCGGAUCGUAAAGCUCUGUUGUAAGUCAAGAACGAGUGUGAGAGUGGAAAGUUCACACUGUGACGGUAGCUUACCAGAAAGGGACGGCUAACUACGUG